Nilaparvata lugens (brown planthopper) is the source of this 476-nucleotide long non-coding RNA. RefSeq lists it as uncharacterized. The transcript has 2 exons. The record is from RefSeq and is a predicted model, not a curated record. NCBI's taxonomy places the organism in Eukaryota, Metazoa, Arthropoda, Insecta, Hemiptera, Delphacidae.
CUUUAUUUUUUUCAUUUCCUUUUUAAAUAUGUAAAUUUUCUUGUUUGUUAUUAAAAAAAAAAAGAAAAGUAAUCAUGUCCGAAAAUUUAAUUGAGUAUUCAUUCUAGCUGGCCUAAGUUAUGGCAAUUUAUUUAUAUUUGUUGAAAACCUCAUUCAUCACAUAUGUAUCCAUAGUAAUUUCUACAAUUUCCGCUGUACAGCGGUCGUAGACUCGUAGACUCGUAGACUCGUAGACUCGUAGACUUGUAGACUCGUAGACUCGUAGACUCGUAGACUCGUAGUAUCACAGGAUGUCCUAGUUAUGGCCAUGAAGCUGAAUCCUUGCUGACCAACUCAUCACAAGGAAACCAAUAUUUCCAGAAAAGAUCUAAAUUCGCCGUAAAAAGGAUACUUCAAGAACUUCUUGUGCAGUGAAAAAUUAAUAAGUGAAAAAUUUGAAUAAAGUGUACGGAGGCCUCCUCACUUCAAUACACCAG